This 69-nucleotide transfer RNA is filed under the name Photopectoralis bindus (orangefin ponyfish). RNAcentral describes it as "tRNA-Glu". It matches the Rfam family "tRNA". Rfam says of the family: Transfer RNA (tRNA) molecules are approximately 80 nucleotides in length. Their secondary structure includes four short double-helical elements and three loops (D, anti-codon, and T loops). RNAcentral also lists the same sequence under 1 other name. Lineage: Eukaryota; Metazoa; Chordata; Actinopteri; Chaetodontiformes; Leiognathidae. The record is from RNAcentral.
GUUCCUGUGGUUGAAUUACAACGGUGGUUUUUCGAGUCACUAGUCCUGGUUAAAGUCCUGGUGGGAAUU